UAGGUGCAACCAUAUUAUAUACACAUGAAAGAUACAUCAAUGCUUUAAAAUGUCAACAUAGAUUUUCCAUUAUUUGUUGGAUAUAUAUAUAUAUAUAUAUAUAUUCCCCUUUAACCACGAGCAAAGUCUACUUGAUUAUUUAAUGGGCCAGUAAUUGAACCAUAAGACAUGUUCUAGAAACAUCCACAGGUUUUGGUUUUGGGUGGAUAAGCAUUUGGAGUUGCACUUAGCUUCUCACUCAUUUUUUU
This 248-nucleotide long non-coding RNA is filed under the name Brassica rapa (field mustard). Its description in RNAcentral is "long non-coding RNA (BRAP_LNC006405)". Lineage: Eukaryota; Viridiplantae; Streptophyta; Magnoliopsida; Brassicales; Brassicaceae. The record is from RNAcentral.